UCCAGGUCCUGAGCCCAACUCACCCUGCAGGUUUCGUAAUCUGAUAAUCUGUAGCAUUAUCACUAUUUCACAGGCAAUUUUAGCCAAAAAGACAUGACCUGUGUUUAGUUAAAACUCCCAUUAAGCAGAUGUACUUGGAAAAGGGGGGUGUCAGUGGUUUGCAGAGGGGAAUGAGAAUGUUAGGCCAACAGCAUGGGGACCAGGGAGGUCCCCAAGGAGGAUUCUGCAGAGAGUGAAAGGAUGUGUUACUCACGAUGCCUGGGCAACUGGCUAAAUGUAGAGUGUGUCUGACAAGGCCACGUGGUGGGGCUCACUUUGUUCUUUAAUUCCUUCCCACUCUCUGUGUCUUUUUGAGCACUGAAAAUCAUAUUAAUUUGUUGACUACUGAACCCCUCCAAGGAUCCAGUGAAAGUCAUGACUGUUCUUCUCAGGAAAUUGUACAAAUGCAAAGACCCACAAAACAGUGUAUAUGAUGUCU
This 478-nucleotide long non-coding RNA is filed under the name Bos taurus (domestic cattle). RNAcentral describes it as "long non-coding RNA NONBTAT013948". The record is from RNAcentral. Lineage: Eukaryota; Metazoa; Chordata; Mammalia; Artiodactyla; Bovidae.